CCUGCCCCAACUCUGCUCCUCGCUAGGGGCCCACUUGAGCGACUCUGCUGUGUCCUCGCUACGGGAUCCUCCCUGGGUCCCCCUUGAAACCCAAGGCUUCUGCUGCUCCUGGAUCUCUGUCCCCAUCCGCAGACUUUGCCCCGGCGUCCACUGUGGGAUCAUCAAAGGACGGGAAGAAACUGAGGUUCAGGAAGCUUCAAUCUCAUGCUGUGGGGUCACACAGCUUUUACAUGGCAAAGGCACACCUUGAACCUGGGUCUACCACACUGACCCUCCUACAUCCUGCUCCCAGCUGGCUGUAUGGCCUCGGACAUGUCCUUCAGCAUGCCUGGACCUCUGAUGCUUCGAUUUUCAAAAAAGAGAGACAGGAAGAAUCUUGGGACAGACACCCUCAAGAGUUGGGAGUAACAAAGAAGGAGAAAACAACAACAAAUUUUUGAAGAGCGGAAGCCAGAUAGUUGAGUGGUAACUGACCUAACAGAUUCAAGAACACUGACUCCUAAGCAGGUAAUGGAAAAAGCCAAGAACGGCCUGUGUCAAAUUGCGGACUUCUCACAGGGUUCAAGAAUUUGUAGUUUCAGGCAUCUCUGGCAGUUUAGGUUAAGGGAAAGCUUAAAAAAAAAAAAAAAAAAAAAAAAAAAAAAAGAGUGUUUAAAGCCAUUCAAGUAAUAGCUCCCUAAACUCUCUCCCCAGUUCCAUCCAUGUCACUGAGCUAUUUAUUACCCAUCCUAGCCUCAGCAGAAGACUGAAGUUUAUUCUCUAGACAGAAUAACACUGAGGGGCUCUGGACAGGUGGGACACUUGACGCAGUUGGGAGUGGAAACACUAAAAACAGGAGAAUUAAGUGAUUCCAUGCAUAUUAAAUGCUGAGAACCUCAGCCCUAUUCCCUCACUCCCAGAAAGGGGGUGACCAGGCCUGUCUGUAGGGUACAAGCUUUCUCCAUGGGUUACAUCAGAAAUCUAUAGAUGCCAAUUAUCAGAGGCUGCCUAACAAACACCCCAGGCAAAUCAUCCUAUAGCAACAUCCUCUAUCACCACAGCCAGUGAGUCCCCCCACUUCACAUGGCUUCCAAUCAGUGUUUUAGUCCACCACUUGUAAACAUAAGCAGACAACCAAGGAUUAGCAGAAAUCUGAUAAAAGCCUCUAAAAUGAGACAGAGACCCCCAGAAAGGGUAGAGAGGGAGUGGCUGGGUGGCUCAGUCAGCUGAGUGUUUGACUCUUGGUUUCGGCUUAGGUCAUGAUCUCACGGUUUGUGGGUUGAAGCCCCUCAUUGGGUUCUGUGC
Long non-coding RNA from Leopardus geoffroyi (Geoffroy's cat), 1284 nucleotides. RefSeq lists it as uncharacterized. The transcript has 3 exons. NCBI's taxonomy places the organism in Eukaryota, Metazoa, Chordata, Mammalia, Carnivora, Felidae. The record is from RefSeq and is a predicted model, not a curated record.